CAAUGAUGAGACUGCCUACUGCUGG
RNAcentral lists this non-coding RNA (25 nucleotides) under Cricetulus griseus (Chinese hamster). The record is from RNAcentral. Lineage: Eukaryota; Metazoa; Chordata; Mammalia; Rodentia; Cricetidae.